Molecule: transfer RNA, 60 nt
Filed under: Heterosigma akashiwo
Lineage: Eukaryota; Raphidophyceae; Chattonellales; Chattonellaceae
Source: RNAcentral
UGGUUCAGAUGGUAGGGCGCUCGACUCGCAUGUGCGAGGUCACCGGUUCGAUCCCAGGCU